Molecule: transfer RNA, 73 nt
Filed under: Camelus ferus (Wild Bactrian camel)
Lineage: Eukaryota; Metazoa; Chordata; Mammalia; Artiodactyla; Camelidae
Rfam family: tRNA
About the family: Transfer RNA (tRNA) molecules are approximately 80 nucleotides in length.
Source: Rfam by way of RNAcentral
GAGGGUGUGGCUCAAGUGGUAGAGCGCCUGCUUAGCACGCACAGGGUCCUGGGUUCAAUCCCCAGCACCUCCU